UAGGGAAUCUUCCGCAAUGGACGAAAGUCUGACGGAGCAACGCCGCGUGAGUGAAGAAGGAUUUCGGUUCGUAAAACUCUGUUGUUAGGGAAGAAAAAAUGUAUAGUAACUAUAUACAAAAGAGACGGUACCUAACCAGAAAGCCACGGCUAACUACGUGCCAGCAGCCGCGGUAAUACGUAGGUGGCAAGCGUUGUACGGAAUUAUUGGGCGUAAAGCGCGCGCAGGUGGUUUAGAAAGUCUGAUGUGAAAGCCCACGGCUCAACCGUGGAGGGUAAUUCGAAACUAAUAAACUUGAGUGCAGGAGAGAAAAGUGGAAUUCCUAGUGUAGCGGUGAAAUGCGUAGAGAUUAGGAGGAACACCGGUGGCGAACGCGGCUUUUUGGCCUGCAACUGACACUGAGGCGCGAAAGCGUGGGGAGCAAACAGG
This 429-nucleotide ribosomal RNA is filed under the name Verrucomicrobiota bacterium. RNAcentral's name for it is "Verrucomicrobia bacterium partial 16S ribosomal RNA". It matches the Rfam family "Bacterial small subunit ribosomal RNA", at positions 355 to 776 of the family's 1533-position model. Lineage: Bacteria; Pseudomonadati; Verrucomicrobiota. The record is from RNAcentral.